RNAcentral lists this ribosomal RNA (439 nucleotides) under Pagrus major (red seabream). RNAcentral describes it as "partial 16S ribosomal RNA". It matches the Rfam family "Bacterial large subunit ribosomal RNA", at positions 1989 to 2580 of the family's 2925-position model. Lineage: Eukaryota; Metazoa; Chordata; Actinopteri; Spariformes; Sparidae. The record is from RNAcentral.
UGUNUGAAUGGCAUCACGAGGGCUUAACUGUCUCCCCUCCCCAGUCAAUGAAAUUGAUCUCCCCGUGCAGAAGCGGGGAUAAUACCAUAAGACGAGAAGACCCUAUGGAGCUUUAGACGUCAGAGCAGCCCAUGUAAAGCACCCCUUAACAAAGGAAAAAACCAAAUGAAGCCUGCCCUAAUGUCUUUGGUUGGGGCGACCGCGGGGAAAUACAAAACCCCCAUGUGGAGUAGGAAUACACAUUCCUAAACCCAAGAGCUCCCGCUCUAAUGAACAGAAAUUCUGACCAAUAAGAUCCGGCACACGCCGAUCAACGGACCGAGUUACCCUAGGGAUAACAGCGCAAUCCCCUUAAAGAGCCCUUAUCGACAAGGGGGUUUACGACCUCGAUGUUGGAUCAGGACAUCCUAAUGGUGCAGCCGCUNUUAAGGGGGGUUGU